UCUGGUGACAAUGGCAAGGAGGUCACACCUGUUCCCAUGCCGAACACAGAAGUUAAGCUCCUUAGCGCCGAUGGUAGUCGGACCGACGUUCCGCUAGAGUAGGACGUUGCCAGGC
This 115-nucleotide ribosomal RNA is filed under the name Staphylococcus epidermidis. The record is from RNAcentral. Lineage: Bacteria; Bacillati; Bacillota; Bacilli; Caryophanales; Staphylococcaceae.